GGGGAAUUUUGGACAAUGGGGGAAACCCUGAUCCAGCCAUGCCGCGUGCAGGAUGAAGGCCUUCGGGUUGUAAACUGCUUUUGUACGGAACGAAAAGGUCUUUUCUAAUAAAGAAGGCUGAUGACGGUACCGUAAGAAUAAGCACCGGCUAACUACGUGCCAGCAGCCGCGGUAAUACGUAGGGUGCGAGCGUUAAUCGGAAUUACUGGGCGUAAAGGGUGCGCAGGCGGUUAUAUAAGACAGAUGUGAAAUCCCCGGGCUCAACCUGGGAACUGCAUUAGUGACUGGAUAGCUUGAGUGCGGCAGAGGGGGAUGGAAUUCCGCGUGUAGCAGUGAAAUGCGUAGAUAUGCGGAGGAACACCGAUGGCGAAGGCAAUCCCCUGGGCCUGCACUGACGCUCAUGCACGAAAGCGUGGGGAGCAAAC
Molecule: ribosomal RNA, 425 nt
Filed under: uncultured bacterium
Lineage: Bacteria
Description: bacterial SSU rRNA
Rfam family: Bacterial small subunit ribosomal RNA
Source: RNAcentral